RNAcentral lists this unclassified non-coding RNA (627 nucleotides) under Scleria sobolifer. RNAcentral's name for it is "partial external transcribed spacer 1". The record is from RNAcentral. Lineage: Eukaryota; Viridiplantae; Streptophyta; Magnoliopsida; Poales; Cyperaceae.
UGAGUUGUUCCGGACUUGCUUUUGAAACGGGCUCCCCGCAUAUUUGUGCGGUCAACUGUUUCAGAGCUUGUUUCUUUAGCGUCCCGCCCGAUGCUCAUAUUUAGCUUGGGCGGUGUGAUGAAUGGUUUGGUGCCUGUGUUGGCUACUUAUUUUGGGAUAAUGCUGGUUUUGUUACUACGGCAUGUCUUGUUGCCUUUGAUUAUGAUUUUGAUAAAGUUGCGUGGGCAAUUGAAACAUUGGCUUUUUUUGGGAGUGAUCGAUGGGUCUCGACUCGUCCGCAGCUCGCAUCAUAUUAUAUGAGCAGCUCUUUCGGAUACGGUGGCUAUGUGGGUACUUGUGGUCCUCUUCGGUCCGCAUGUGACCUUGUAGUACACCCGUAAAAGUUGAACGUGCGGUUGGAUCUUGUGGCAUCUUGGUGUUCCUGUUUUUGCUGUCAUGCUGGAGCAAAGGCGGGGCGUGGGGAUGCAGAUGCUGGCUUACGGGGGCGUUGCUGUACGUGUGGGUGUUCUAUGAAUUAUUAGUGAUUGCCGUUGCGUGCGUGCGUAUUGGUAUCCCGUCCGGGAGUGCCUCAGCAGCUCGCAGGCUCACUAUUUUGACUUGCUACCUGGUUGAUCCUGCCAGUAGUCU